RNAcentral lists this ribosomal RNA (433 nucleotides) under uncultured bacterium. RNAcentral describes it as "partial 16S ribosomal RNA". It matches the Rfam family "Bacterial small subunit ribosomal RNA", at positions 29 to 507 of the family's 1533-position model. The record is from RNAcentral.
AACGAACGCUGGCGGCAGGCCUAACACAUGCAAGUCGAGCGAGAUCUUCGGGUCUAGCGGCGGACGGGUGAGUAACGCGUGGGAAUAUGCCCUUCUCUGCGGAAUAGCCUCGGGAAACUGAGCGUAAUACCGCAUACGCCCUUUGGGGGAAAGAUUUAUCGGAGAAGGAUUAGCCCGCGUUGGAUUAGGUAGUUGGUGGGGUAACGGCCUACCAAGCCGACGAUCCAUAGCUGGUUUGAGAGGAUGAUCAGCCACACUGGGACUGAGACACGGCCCAGACUCCUACGGGAGGCAGCAGUGGGGAAUCUUAGACAAUGGGGGCGACCCUGAUCUAGCCAUGCCGCGUGAGUGAUGAAGGCCUUAGGGUUGUAAAGCUCUUUCAGCUGGGAAGAUAAUGACGGUACCAGCAGAAGAAGCCCCGGCUAACUCCGUG